UCCCCACUCCCUGAGACCCUAACUUGUGAUGCGUUCUGCGCCGCCUUCCCAGGUUAGAUUCUCAGGCCCUGGG
Molecule: microRNA precursor, 73 nt
Filed under: Ixodes scapularis (black-legged tick)
Lineage: Eukaryota; Metazoa; Arthropoda; Arachnida; Ixodida; Ixodidae
Description: miRNA
Source: RNAcentral